RNAcentral lists this transfer RNA (71 nucleotides) under Pneumocystis canis. RNAcentral's name for it is "tRNA-Trp". It matches the Rfam family "tRNA". From Rfam's summary of the family: Transfer RNA (tRNA) molecules are approximately 80 nucleotides in length. Their secondary structure includes four short double-helical elements and three loops (D, anti-codon, and T loops). The record is from RNAcentral. Lineage: Eukaryota; Fungi; Ascomycota; Pneumocystomycetes; Pneumocystales; Pneumocystaceae.
GAGAGUAUAAUUUAAUGGUAGAAUAAUUGAUUCCAAAUUAAUUUGUAAAAGUUCAAAUCUUUUUACUCUUG